AUCGUAAGCAGUGGGUCCAUGGACGACAGGGCGGAAUCUAUGAGCUGUUUCUAUGCAGCGGGCUUUGGAGGACUCUUCUGUUGGCCUAGCAAGUUUACUACAUGAAACAACUAUAUACUCUGUGUUCUUCAGGUGCAUGCUUGUGUGUCGUGCUGAUGUCGGUGUAGUGGCCUGCUUUACCAAUAUAAUAUGAUGGACAGUAUAACUGCCCAUACAAUAAAAAGGUUUGGAGAAGUUUAUGAGUACAUGUGUAUGUGGGUUUCGACCAAACUGUCCCGGCCGCUAACAGAAACAGUAAACAUUCCUACGUGUUAAUUACAUCUUAAUUACGUGCCAGGUACAGAGUAGUCACAAUACAAGCAAAAAAGACUCUACACGGCUAAUGGCAUCAAACAUUCUGUUCAAAUAUCUACAGAAAAUCUCCUAUUUAACACUGAUAUAAUAAGCGGUUCCUUAUUUGACCCUUAAAAUCUUAUCCUUCUCUAUUUGACACUGGAUCUAAAUUUCAUGCCUUAUAUGACACUACAUUAGCUUUUCCAUCCAAAGACUUUUAAAUACUCUGUAAAAAGAUAAAUUUACCCCUGUUUGGCUCAUGUAGCAAUCAUUGACAUAUUAAUAUUUUGUGCUAUAAAAAAAUAUAUAGACACGUAAGAUUUAGAUGAACUUUAACAAUUAAGUUUACAAGAAUGACAGUGUUGUAGGAGAAAAUAAUGAAAUUUAAGAUGAAUUUUAGUUGAGUUCAAAUAGAGUAUUUGAAUUUAUAUGAAAAAGAGGUAUAAGAUAAAUUCUACAUAUCACGUAAGCAAUGCUGGCGGCGGGGCUGGAGCGCUCCGCGCGGCUAGCAGCGGCACCCAGCACGAGUGGGGACCCAAACGGACCAGCGGCGGCGGCGGAUGUGUGCGUGCACAGGCUACACCGCAGCGGCGGUGGACGUGUGCGUGCACAGUGCAUCAACAGCGAACGUCCAGCCGCACGCAUGCAACAGGUACCGCCCAAGCCACUGUGGCCAGCAGCACCGGAGGGAGCAGGCGGCAAGCAUCUAGCGACAAACCAAGCAGCAUGUUCUUUUUGAUAUAAGCCCACUUUUUGACAGGGGUAAAAUAGUCUUUGCACAUCAUAGUUAAUGGAUGAAAAAACUAGGGGAAUGUCAUAUAGGCAUGAAAUUUAGAUCUAGUGUUAAAUUGGGGAGGCUGAAGUUUUAAGGGCCAAGCAUUAUACCAAUAUCAAAUGAGGUUUGUUACGUUGCUUGGGAGGAACCGGUGGUUCCUCUCCCCCUAAAUUUUCUGGAGCGUUGAUUUUAACAGAGGGUGUUUUAUUUUAAUCAGGGCCAGUUUAGUCAAUUUAUCCUCAGCACAAAUACGCCUUGUUCAUCCAAUGACCGGUUAGACCAUCGCUGACUGACUGCUUCAAUCUUAUCCCCAAUCGGCGGCCUGCGUGCGGCCCUUGCCUGGCGGCGGCGAUCUGCGCACAGGCCUUCCCCGGCGGCGGCGGCCUGCACGCGGCCCUUUCUCGACCGGCCAUCCACGUGCGGCUCUUCCCUGCGCCAGGCAUCAGGACCAACAUCGGCCACUCAACUGGCGGCCAAUACGUCAACGAACAACACAGCCAAGGUGGGAGCUGGAACUUUGCAACACCUUUCUGGCCCAUUAAUCAGUGUUUAAAAUAGCGGUUUGUGUUUGUAGAGACUAAGAAAGAUACAGCAGGCUAUAGCCUAGCUAAACCGCUAAGGUUGUGUACCAUGUAUAAAUCUAUGAGUAAUUUUGCAUAUAAAUAUGAAAUUAAGAAAAUUUCAUGCACUGAAGUACGUCUAGGGCUUCAUUCCCCCAUCACAUCAUUGACAAAAUACUAAGUUUUGUAAAUGAUAAAGUUCAAUACUAAACUAAAAAUAAAUAAAGACCAAUUAUAUGGUUUAGCUAGCUAAAUAAUCCUUAAUUUAGCGGGCGGGAUGUAGCCAGCUAUUAGCGGAUUUAGCCUUUUAGAACUAAAAGAUGGAUAUCCUAGCCUUCUCCUCUCUCAAAGGAUAUAGCGGGCUGUAGCGGUGGCUAUAGCUCGCUAUUCAGAACCUUGCUCUUGAUGCUGAAGCUUUGGCUGCGAUGCAAGGUUGGAAACCUGCUUUACAAUAGGGGAUGCCUCUUUACAACAGGGGAGCAAUCACCAAUCCGAUUAACCUUCAGUGUGCUAUCAGAUGUUUAGAUUAAUCAAUUGCAUGGUGGUGUGUAUCAUGACUCUGAAAAGUUGAAGACCUGAGCAGGGUGCUAAUAAGUGCUUUAGAGAUUUCACAUUUUUUGUAACCAUGUAAUAAGAUUGUUAUGUAUCACCUUGAGUGCGACUUUGAGAAACUGAAUCAGGGUCAGUUAGGAUCUGAAGAAUUGGUACAAGUAUCUUAAGCUGUGUUGCAAUCACUUUUCACACAACCAUGUAUUUCGCGUUACAGAAAUGGUAGUACUGUCUUGUAUA
Long non-coding RNA from Panicum hallii, 2457 nucleotides. RefSeq lists it as uncharacterized. The record is from RefSeq and is a predicted model, not a curated record. Lineage: Eukaryota; Viridiplantae; Streptophyta; Magnoliopsida; Poales; Poaceae. The transcript has 2 exons.